RNAcentral lists this ribosomal RNA (513 nucleotides) under uncultured bacterium. RNAcentral's name for it is "partial 16S ribosomal RNA". It matches the Rfam family "Bacterial small subunit ribosomal RNA", at positions 28 to 507 of the family's 1533-position model. The record is from RNAcentral.
GACGAACGCUGGCGGCGUGCUUAACACAUGCAAGUCGAACGAGAGCGUAGAGAAAGCUUGCUUUUUCUACAAUCUAGUGGCAAACGGGUGAGUAACGCGUAAACAACCUGCCCUACGGAUGGGGACAACAGCUGGAAACGGCUGCUAAUACCGAAUACGUUCCGAAAGUCGCAUGACUAUCGGAAGAAAGGAUGGCCUCUAUUUAUAAGCUAUCGCCGGAGGAGGGGUUUGCGUCUGAUUAGCUAGUUGGAGGGGUAACGGCCCACCAAGGCGACGAUCAGUAGCCGGUCUGAGGGGAUGAACGGCUACAUUGGAACUGAGACACGGUCCAGACUCCUACGGGAGGCAGCAGUGGGGAAUCUUCCGCAAUGGGCGAAAGCCUGACGGAGCAACGCCGCGUGAGUGAAGACGGCCUUCGGGUUGUAAAGCUCUGUUAUACGGGACGAAUAAUCUUGUGGUUAAUACCCAUGAGAAGUGACGGUACCGUAAGAGAAAGCCACGGCUAACUACGUG